AGGGACAGGGUGCAUGGGGAUGGGUGCACAGGGACAGGGUGCAUGGGGAUGGGUGCACAGGGACAGGGUGCAUGGGGAUGGGUGCACAGGGAUGGAUUGCAUGCAGACGGACACACAGUCAGGGUGCAUAGGGAUGGAUUGCAUGCAGACGGACACACAGUCAGGGUGCAUAGGGAUGGAUUGCAUGGGGACGGACACACAGUCAGGGUGCAUAGGGACGGAGUGCAUGGGGAUAGAAACACAAGGUCAGGGUGCAGAGGGACAAGGUGCAUGGGGAUGGGUGCACAGGGACACAGUGCAUGAGGACGGACACACACGGUCAGGGUGCAUGGGGAUGGGUGCACAGGGACACAGUGCAUGAGGACGGACACACACGGUCAGGGUGCACAGGGAUGGAUUGCAUGGGGAGAGACACACACGGUCAGGGUGCACAGGGACAGGGUGCAUGGGGAUGGGUGCACAGGGAUGCAGUGCAUGGGGACGGACACAGGCGGUCAGGGUGCACAGGGACAGGGUGCAUGGGGAACGGACACACAUGGUCAGGGUGCAGAGGGACGGGGUGCACGGGGGACGGACACACAUGGUCGGGGUGCAUGGGGA
RNAcentral lists this long non-coding RNA (600 nucleotides) under Struthio camelus australis. Its description in RNAcentral is "lncRNA (ENSSCUG00000017160.1)". The record is from RNAcentral. Lineage: Eukaryota; Metazoa; Chordata; Aves; Struthioniformes; Struthionidae.